This 452-nucleotide ribosomal RNA is filed under the name uncultured eukaryote. RNAcentral's name for it is "bacterial SSU rRNA". It matches the Rfam family "Eukaryotic small subunit ribosomal RNA", at positions 1208 to 1671 of the family's 1831-position model. The record is from RNAcentral.
GGGAAACUCACCAGGUCAGGACACGGUAAGGAUUGACGGACUGAAGGCUCUUUCUCGAUUCCGUGGAAAGUGGUGCAUGGCCGUUUUUGGUUGGUGGAUCGAUCCGUCUGGUUAAUUCCGUUAACGAACGAGACCUCGGCACUCCGAAUAGCGCGGCGGACGUCGCGGCCUCCGGGCCGUCUUCCGCACGAGCUUCUUAGAGGGACCGUCCCCCGCCGGGGAAGGAGGUGCGAGGCAACGACAGGUCUGUGAUGCCCUUAGAUGUUCUGGGCCGCACGCGCAUUACACUGACGCGUCCAACGGGUGACUCCCGACCCGAAGGGGCCGGGGAAUCCGCAAGGCGCGUCGUGAUGGGGAUUGAACGUUGCAAUUGUUGUUCACGAACGAGGAAUUCCUAGUAGGCGCGGGUCAUCAACCCGCGCCGAUUACGUCCCUGCCCUUUGUACACACCG